CUCUCGGCAACGGAUAUCUCGGCUCUCGCAUCGAUGAAGAACGUAGCGAAAUGCGAUACCUGGUGUGAAUUGCAGAAUCCCGUGAACCAUCGAGUCUUUGAACGCAAGUUGCGCCCGAGGCCAUCCGGCCAAGGGCACGCCUGCCUGGGCAUCAC
Molecule: ribosomal RNA, 155 nt
Filed under: Musa balbisiana (Balbis banana)
Lineage: Eukaryota; Viridiplantae; Streptophyta; Magnoliopsida; Zingiberales; Musaceae
Description: 5.8S ribosomal RNA
Rfam family: 5.8S ribosomal RNA
About the family: 5.8S ribosomal RNA (5.8S rRNA) is a component of the large subunit of the eukaryotic ribosome. It is transcribed by RNA polymerase I as part of the 45S precursor that also contains 18S and 28S rRNA.
Source: RNAcentral